RNAcentral lists this ribosomal RNA (468 nucleotides) under uncultured bacterium. RNAcentral's name for it is "partial 16S ribosomal RNA". It matches the Rfam family "Bacterial small subunit ribosomal RNA", at positions 28 to 507 of the family's 1533-position model. The record is from RNAcentral.
GACGAACGCUGGCGGCGUGCUUAAUACAUGCAAGUCGAACGGAAAGGCCCUGCUCUUGCGGGGUGCUCGAGUGGCGAACGGGUGAGAAACACGUGAGUAACCCGCCCUUGACUUUGGGAUAACUUCAGGAAACUCGGGCUAAUAUCGGAUAGGAGCUCCUGCUGCACGGUGGGGGUUGGAAAGAUUCGGCGGUUGGGGAUGGACUCGCGGGUUAUCAGCUUGUUUGUGGAGUAGUUGCUUACCAAGGGUUUGACGGGUAGGCGGCCUGGGAGCGUGGACGGCGACAUUAGGACUAAGAGAGGGACCAGAAGCCAACGGGAGGCAGCAGUGGAAAGUAUUACACAGUGGGCGGGAGCCAGAUACGACAGCGCCGCGUGCGGGAUGACCGCCUUCGAGUUAAAAACCGAUUUCGAAUGAAACAAGGCGGGAGUGACGGUAAUGGGUAAAAAAGCACCGGCUAACUACGUG